RNAcentral lists this ribosomal RNA (384 nucleotides) under uncultured bacterium. Its description in RNAcentral is "bacterial SSU rRNA". It matches the Rfam family "Bacterial small subunit ribosomal RNA", at positions 30 to 416 of the family's 1533-position model. The record is from RNAcentral.
AUUGAACGCUGGCGGCAUGCUUUACACAUGCAAGUCGAACGGUAACAGGCCUUCGGGUGCUGACGAGUGGCGAACGGGUGAGUAAUGCAUCGGAACGUGCCCAAUCGUGGGGGAUAACGUAGCGAAAGUUACGCUAAUACCGCAUAAGCCCUGAGGGGGAAAGUGGGGGACCGCAAGGCCUCACGCGAAUGGAGCGGCCGAUGUCAGAUUAGCUAGUUGGUGAGGUAAAGGCUUACCAAGGCGACGAUCUGUAGCGGGUCUGAGAGGAUGAUCCGCCACACUGGAACUGAGACACGGUCCAGACUCCUACGGGAGGCAGCAGUGGGGAAUUUUGGACAAUGGGGGCAACCCUGAUCCAGCCAUGCCGCGUGAGUGAAGAAGGCC